RNAcentral lists this ribosomal RNA (481 nucleotides) under uncultured bacterium. RNAcentral describes it as "partial 16S ribosomal RNA". It matches the Rfam family "Bacterial small subunit ribosomal RNA", at positions 28 to 523 of the family's 1533-position model. The record is from RNAcentral.
GAUAAACGCUGGCGGCGUGCCUAAUACAUGCAAGUCGAACGGAAGGUUUGUAGCAAUACUAACCUUUAGUGGCGAAUGGGUGAGUAACGCGUUGGUGACCUGCCCCGAAGAGAGGGACAACAGUUCGAAAGGACUGCUAAUACCUCAUGUGGUUACAAGGAUUAGAUACCUUGUAUCUAAAGGAGCAAUCCGCUUCGGGAGGGACCUGCGUCCCAUCAGCUAGUUGGUAGGGUAACGGCCUACCAAGGCUACGACGGGUAGGGGGCCUGAGAGCGUGGCCCCACACAUUGGCACUGAAACACGGGCCAAACACCUACGGGUGGCAGCAGUAGGGAAUAUUGCACAAUGGGCGAAAGCCUGAUGCAGCAACGCCGCGUGCGCGAUGAAGGCCUUCGGGUCGUAAAGCGCUUUUUGAGGAGAUGAGGAAGGACAGUAUCCUCAGAAUAAGAUUCGGCUAACUACGUGCCAGCCGCCGCGGUAA